UACAGAGGAUGCAAGCGUUAUCCGGAAUGAUUGGGCGUAAAGCGUCUGUAGGUGGCUUUUUAAGUCCGCCGUCAAAUCCCAGGGCUCAACUCUGGACAGGCGGUGGAAACUACCAAGCUGGAGUACGGUAGGGGCAGAGGGAAUUUCCGGUGGAGCGGUGAAAUGCGUAGAGAUCGGGAGGAACACCAGCGGCGAAGGCGGCUUACUGGACAGUUACUGACACUCAACUACGAAAGCGUGGGGAGCAAACAGG
Molecule: ribosomal RNA, 253 nt
Filed under: uncultured bacterium
Lineage: Bacteria
Description: partial 16S ribosomal RNA
Rfam family: Bacterial small subunit ribosomal RNA
Source: RNAcentral